GAUGAAGAACGUAGCGAAAUGCGAUAAGUAAUGUGAAUUGCAGAAUUCAGUGAAUCAUCGAAUCUUUGAACGCACCUUGCGCCCUUUGGCCAUUCCGAAGGGCAUGCCUGUUUGAGUAUCAUGAACACCUCAACUCUUCAUGGUUUUCCGUGAUGAGCUUGGACUUUGGGGGUCUUGCUGGCCUAUGGUCAGCUCCUCUAAAAUAAAUCAGCUUGCCAGUGUUUGGUGGGUAUCACAGGUGUGAUAACUAUCUACGCUUGUGGUUUUCCACCAGGUAACCUUCAGAAGUGGAGGUUCGCUGGAGCUCACAGAUGUGUCUCUCCUCAGUGAGGACAGCUCUUUGAAUGUUUGAUCUCAAAUCAGGUAGGACUACCCGCUGAACUUAAGCAUAUCAAUAAGCGGAGGA
Molecule: unclassified non-coding RNA, 406 nt
Filed under: soil metagenome
Description: partial contains 5.8S ribosomal RNA, internal transcribed spacer 2, and large subunit ribosomal RNA
Rfam family: 5.8S ribosomal RNA (bases 1-121)
Source: RNAcentral